CUGAAAAAGGCAAACUUAUCGAAAGGUAGGGACGCAAAGCUACGAGUCUAAAAUCCUAUUGGAUAAAGAUAGUCGGGUUGCCAA
This 84-nucleotide non-coding RNA is filed under the name uncultured Ureibacillus sp. Its description in RNAcentral is "Cyclic di-GMP-I riboswitch". It matches the Rfam family "c-di-GMP-I riboswitch aptamer". From Rfam's summary of the family: GEMM was predicted in a large-scale screen for bacterial structured RNA regulatory elements. Genes associated with GEMM are involved in a diverse array of functions, including chemotaxis regulation, signal transduction, secretion and chitin. The record is from RNAcentral. Lineage: Bacteria; Bacillati; Bacillota; Bacilli; Caryophanales; Caryophanaceae.